CUGCUUUCCUCGGUUCUGUCAGCAGGGAGGGCGUUGAACUCUCGCGGGACAAUCACCGCCGAGCCGCUCACGCCCCAGAUCACACAGGGUCUCCACACGCAGCCUGCCGCCGCCAUCUUGAAUGGUGGUGUCCUGGGCAGCGCUUCCACACACGGCUGGAGUUGAAGUAUUUGUUGAGCAUAGCAGUUUCGCCUUAGGAACACUGGUCUGAAGUGCUGGUGACAGAGUGUCUGCAAGCCACAUCCUGUGAAUAAAUGAAACUCGACCAAGCAUCAAGGAAAAAGAAAAAAGUUUAGACUUUUAUCACCUAGAUUCUAUUUUUAUUUCCUGGGAAUUGUAAAUGGACUUUGUCCGAGACCUUGAUGGACCAGUUAACCAACUUGUUGUGAUGAGGAGGAAUGUUAUGGUGGUUUAAACUUUAUUUUCUGAGCCUGGCCUAUCCCUGGAGUGGAGGACAUGCUGUCCAGAACUGCUAUUAUGUGCUCAUACUUUAUGAUCAGAGUGGAAAAGGCACUUUCAUGCUAUCUUUACCUUGAAAAAUUCCAAGGAAUCACUGUGACUGACUGGUCACUGGUCCAGGUUAAGCAUUUUCUCUUGAGAUUUUGUUCGAACUUUAAAUUUGCCAAGCAAAAGAAUUUUGAAGAAACUAAUGCUGAGUGAAGCCAUAAGGUUAAAAAAUCGAACUAGGCAUACAUGGGAAUGACAGCAGAUGUGAGGAGAUGAGGAUGCGAUGAAAACAGAAGCAUCACACACACAGACUGGAACUUAGAGUAUGCCUUUGGAAGAUAAAAAAGCACUGUAGCUUUGGAGAGAGCAUAAUUCAAAGAACUGAAGCUCCAGCGGAAGUAAUUAACGAAAGAUACUAUUCUCCAGCAUCCCUAACUCAUGUUUGCACGAUAUGGCACCAGGCUGGAAUUUGGAGCCCUUCACUGUUAUCUUAAGCAUCAGUCACUCAGUCGUGUCCGA
Non-coding RNA from Odocoileus virginianus texanus, 966 nucleotides. The record is from RefSeq and is a predicted model, not a curated record. Lineage: Eukaryota; Metazoa; Chordata; Mammalia; Artiodactyla; Cervidae.